RNAcentral lists this long non-coding RNA (2088 nucleotides) under Nicotiana benthamiana. RNAcentral describes it as "long non-coding RNA (NBEN_LNC012168)". Lineage: Eukaryota; Viridiplantae; Streptophyta; Magnoliopsida; Solanales; Solanaceae. The record is from RNAcentral.
ACGGUUCAGAAUCCUUAAGAGAAAAUGCACAAAAGUGUAAUAAUCAUUAUACAAUUAUAGGGACAAAAAUCCAUCCUCCUCGUACAACCCAAGCCUGUAACACCAUCAUAUCUCCGCCGUUCGCUGCUGGCCGUAAACCGCCUCCGCUAGCGGCGAAGCUCCAAAUCACUCCAAAUUUACAUCCCAUGCUCCUCUCUUCCUCCUCUUUCUAUAUCCAUGUCCAGUUUCUCACGAAUCCCAUCCAAUCGCCUCAAAUAUCGAAUCUAAACUUUCCCGGCCAUGACAACACCUCGUCCAAAUGACACCAAAUUCACACCAAGUGUUCACCUCCCUCCCCACGUCACGAAUCCACACUCCUUUUACUUUGAAUCACCCUACAUCCGUUCGAAUUUUGAAUCAAACUCGGACUCCAAAACCCUAGCUGCAUGAGUCAUGGGUUUUUCAGAGGGCUUGAUCAUAUAGCAUUUAGUUGUGUAUUUUCUCAUGAAAAUAUAUGAUUAAAUGCUCAUUUGGUCACGGGUUUAUCAGAUUUUUUGCCCAGCUGAAGUCUCAGAACUUGUAAACUUCCCCGGUUAUUUUUCUGUUAUUUUUAUUAUCUGUUCCUUAGUAUUUUCUUAUUAAGUUUUCUGCUGCCGAGUCUGAUUUUUGUUCUUAUCCAAGUUUCGAUUUUGAAUUCAGUGAUUCAAUGGGGGAUAAUUUGUUAUUUGAAUGAUGGUUGAUAGAUUCGAACUGUUAAGACUAAUAUAUGUUAGUGUUUGAAGGGUUCGAUUUUGCAAAGGUACUGUUUGACUGAUGCCAGGUUGAUUGGAUUUGAUUUUCUUUCUGUUUCUCAUAAAUAAUGGCUAAUCCAGAUAGUCCAUUUUGUGUUUGCGUUAGAUGUUUAAUGAUGUAAUGAGGUUACAGUUACAUUAUAGAAUUGAAGCUAAUUUUGACUUUUAUUUGGUGAUUUCCAUUCUUCUAGUGCAAUACUUGGAUCCUGAAAUUCCAGGUGUUCAUUAGUUCGAUUUCGAGCAAUUUUGGGUAUGUCUGAACUGGUUUUGGAUAAAUUUUGGUUGCUGAAGUUCAGAGGUUCAUUUCGAGUGAUUUUGAGUCAAAUUAAGUUGGUUUUCUUGUUGAAAUUUUGCACUGUUGAAAUUUCAGAAGUGUUCCUAGUUGAUUUCGAAUAGUUUUUAGGUUCAAUCAUUUUGUUUUGGGUGUUUGUUGCUGCUGUUGGGUUACAAUUCAUUCCCGGAUGAGUUUGAAUGUGUUUGAGACAUUGAGUUAUUCUAGUUGGUUUCAAGUUAAAAGUGACUUGUUCAAAAUCUGUUAUGGGCCAUAUUACUGAUAUUUUUGAUCUGCUGUUUCUCACUGCUGCUGAUUUCCCCUUUCUUCUACUCCUUUUCAAUUCCAGGUACACUACGAGACUUGGUUGAUGUGGCAUCUGUAGUUGAAAACAUGAAAUGAAAUAGAAGCCCCAAAAUUCUGAUAUUGCCUUGUUAUUCUGCAUGUUUAGAUGAUUUUUGUGAUUUGGUCAGUAGUAUAUUGUUGCUCCUGUAGGCAUAAAUGGAAUUGAAAAACUGGACCAUAUAGGUCGUAGUUUGAACCAUUUCGGAUUGUUUUAAUUCAUGGUUACUUAGCCGUGUAUAAUUAACACAUUUAAGUUUAGCAUUUUCCUAUUAAAAUUUGACAAUUAGAAGCAGUUUGGAAGUUCAUAUCCAGUUUGAUUUUGAGCUGAACAUGUAUCCCAAAGCAAUAUUUCGUACUGAACUAGUUAAUACCAACAGAUUAGUAAUUAAUACUAGUAAUUUUCUUAAAACGACUGUGUACCAUCAGCUCGUUAGUUAAACUGGUUGACUGUGCGUAACUGUAUGUAAAUGAGUUGUUAAUUUGAACAAGUAUACGUUGGUGUAUUUCAUUUCUAUUUGGUAAACACUUAACUUUGAUGUAAAAAUAAUUGUUGGCUUGCCUUCCCAGAGAUUCGAUCCUUCGAUCUCUUAGGCCUGGCCUAUUUCCACUUUGGGCCACUGAAAUUACAUGGCUGGCAUGCACGCGUUGUAUGGCUUCGGCUCUUUUGGGCCCAAGGCUGAUAUGGAAAUUGGCGUUCAUAUU